AUUGAACGCUGGCGGCAUGCCUUACACAUGCAAGUCGAACGGCAGCACGGGAGCAAUCCUGGUGGCGAGUGGCGAACGGGUGAGUAAUAUAUCGGAACGUGCCCAGUCGUGGGGGAUAACGCAGCGAAAGCUGUGCUAAUACCGCAUACGAUCUACGGAUGAAAGCGGGGGAUCGCAAGACCUCGCGCGAUUGGAGCGGCCGAUAUCAGAUUAGCUAGUUGGUGGGGUAAAGGCACACCAAGGCGACGAUCUGUAGCUGGUCUGAGAGGACGACCAGCCACACUGGAACGGAGACACGGUCCAGAGUCCUACGUGAGGCAGCAGUGGGGAAUUUUGGACAAUGGGCGAAAGCCUGAUCCAGCAAUGCCGCGUGCAGGAUGAAGGCCUUCGGGUUGUAAACUGCUUUUGUACGGAACGAAACGGUGAGCUCUAAUACAGUUUGCUAAUGACGGUACCGUAAGAAUAAGCACCGGCUAACUACGUGCCAGCAGCCGCCGCCG
Molecule: ribosomal RNA, 500 nt
Filed under: uncultured bacterium
Lineage: Bacteria
Description: partial 16S ribosomal RNA
Rfam family: Bacterial small subunit ribosomal RNA
Source: RNAcentral